Molecule: ribosomal RNA, 522 nt
Filed under: Curimus erichsoni
Lineage: Eukaryota; Metazoa; Arthropoda; Insecta; Coleoptera; Byrrhidae
Description: partial 16S ribosomal RNA
Rfam family: Bacterial large subunit ribosomal RNA
Source: RNAcentral
CAUGUCCUUUUGAUUAUAAUUUUAGGUCAGACCUGCCCACUGAAAAAUUUUGAAUGGCCGCGGUAUUUUGACUGUGCAAAGGUAGCAUAAUAAUUAGUUUCUUAAUUAGGAACUUGUAUGAAAGGUUCGACGAGAGAAUUUCUGUCUCUAUUGUAUUUUUGUUAAAAUUUUACUUUAAAGUUAAAAGGCUUUAAUUAAUUUUAAAGACGAGAAGACCCUAUAGAGUUUUAUAUAAUUAUAUUAAUUUAUUUUUUGAAAUUUAUAGUGUAAUAAAAUUAUAUUUUGUUGGGGUGACAGGAAGAUUAAUAAAACUCUUUUUAAUUAAUUACAUAGAUUUAUGGUUAUUUGAUCCGAUUUUUUGAUUAUAAGAGUAAAUUACCUUAGGGAUAACAGCGUAAUUUAUUUGGAGAGUUCAAAUCGAUAAUUAAGAUUGCGACCUCGAUGUUGGAUUAAAGUUAAUUUGUGGUGUAGAAGCUACAGAAUUGGGUCUGUUCGACCUUUAAAACUUUACAUGAUCUGAGU